RNAcentral lists this ribosomal RNA (292 nucleotides) under uncultured bacterium. Its description in RNAcentral is "partial 16S ribosomal RNA". It matches the Rfam family "Bacterial small subunit ribosomal RNA", at positions 505 to 796 of the family's 1533-position model. The record is from RNAcentral.
GUGUCAGCAGCCGCGGUAAUACAGAGGGUGCGAGCGUUGUCCGGAAUCACUGGGCGUAAAGGGCGCGUAGGCGGCCUGGUAAGUAGGGGGUGAAAUCUUGCGGCUCAACUGCAAGGCUGCCUCCUAAACUGCCGGGCUGGAGCACGGUAGAGGCAGAUGGAAUUCCCGGUGUAGCGGUGGAAUGCGUAGAGAUCGGGAAGAACAUCGGUGGCGAAGGCGGUCUGCUGGGCCGUUGCUGACGCUGAGGCGCGACAGCGUGGGGAGCAAACAGGAUUAGAUACCCCAGUAGUCC